RNAcentral lists this ribosomal RNA (218 nucleotides) under Clostridium cochlearium. RNAcentral describes it as "16S rRNA. Bacterial SSU". It matches the Rfam family "Bacterial small subunit ribosomal RNA", at positions 1 to 213 of the family's 1533-position model. Lineage: Bacteria; Bacillati; Bacillota; Clostridia; Eubacteriales; Clostridiaceae. The record is from RNAcentral.
UUUAAAUUGAGAGUUUGAUCCUGGCUCAGGACGAACGCUGGCGGCGUGCUUAACACAUGCAAGUCGAGCGAUGAAGCUUCCUUCGGGAAGUGGAUUAGCGGCGGACGGGUGAGUAACACGUGGGCAACCUGCCUCAAAGAGGGGAAUAGCCCUCCGAAAGGAGGAUUAAUACCGCAUAAAGUUAGAGUUUCGCAUGAAACUUUAACCAAAGGAGUAAU